Non-coding RNA from Picea glauca (white spruce), 46 nucleotides. The record is from Rfam. NCBI's taxonomy places the organism in Eukaryota, Viridiplantae, Streptophyta, Pinopsida, Pinales, Pinaceae.
GAAAUGGUGUCUUUAGACACCACCCUUCAUCUUCAAAAAAAAUUGU